This 566-nucleotide long non-coding RNA is filed under the name Gallus gallus (chicken). Its description in RNAcentral is "long non-coding RNA NONGGAT005508". Lineage: Eukaryota; Metazoa; Chordata; Aves; Galliformes; Phasianidae. The record is from RNAcentral.
ACUGCAUUCUGCACUGGAGGUGGACUGUGGAUAUGCAGAGCUCUAUGGGAAAAACAGUCUUCCUCCCAUGGAGAUUUAUCUGAAGGUGCAAAGCUAGAACUGGAGACACUUGGGCUGCAUUCUCCAUGUUGCCUCUUCAAGAGUCAGGGUCUUUGGAUUUAUUUGCAUGAAGAACAGUGUGUGCUGAACAAGGAAAAUGGGCAUUUUCCACAACAUCUAAAAUCCGUGUCUCAAAUGUGUAAGCUAAUCUCCUGUAUAUUUAAAGUGCUCAGCAAUGAUUUAAGAGGGCAGCAAUUACUUGACACAUCUCUGAAGGCUAAAUGGAGUAAUGUGCUGGUGUUUAAAGUCUGAUCCAAAGCUCAUCAUCUCAUGCAAAGAGCAGGAAACCUUGUUCUGAAGGUUGCCAGCUGCAGAAGGAGCCUCAGGACCAGUUAAAGCUGCAGGCUGUAACCUAUAUUCAUCUAACCACUGGCUGUUGGUGCGAGGAUGUGGAGCUGACACAGGAAGACGGCUGGAUUGCUGUUUCCUGCGAUGUGUUGUAGAGAAAAUAUGCUUCAGUAGCAAAG